This 296-nucleotide ribosomal RNA is filed under the name uncultured bacterium. RNAcentral's name for it is "partial 16S ribosomal RNA". It matches the Rfam family "Bacterial small subunit ribosomal RNA", at positions 335 to 629 of the family's 1533-position model. The record is from RNAcentral.
ACUCCUACGGGAGGCAGCAGUGAGGAAUAUUGGUCAAUGGAGGGAACUCUGAACCAGCCAUCCCGCGUGUAGGAAGACGGCCUUAUGGGUUGUAAACUACUUUUAUACAGGAAGAAACGUACCCUCUGAGGGUGCCUGACGGUACNGUAGGAAUAAGCGCCGGCUAACUCCGUGCCAGCAGCCGCGGUAAUACGGAGGGCGCAAGCGUUACUCGGAAUCACUGGGCGUAAAGAGCGUGUAGGCGGAUAGAUAAGUCAGGAGUGAAAUCCUAUGGCUCAACCAUAGAACUGCUCUUG